Molecule: small nucleolar RNA, 129 nt
Organism: Sorex araneus (European shrew)
Lineage: Eukaryota; Metazoa; Chordata; Mammalia; Eulipotyphla; Soricidae
Product: small nucleolar RNA SNORA24
Exons: 1
Source: RefSeq, a predicted model, not a curated record
UUCCAUGUAUCUUUGGGACCUGUCACUGUACAAGUCUCCCUUCUUGGCCAUGGAAGAUCAUAUUCUUAUUCAUUGGCAAACUAUCACCACUUAAUUGGUAUUAGAUUCUGACAUACAUCAGUAACAUCC